AAAACGGUUUCUCAACCAGUAAUGCACACCACUCAACACAAUUCAUUUCAAACAUUGACUAAAAAUCCAUGAAGUUGACUGAGGAAAAUUCUUUCUAAGUUUCAGGUGAAACAGCAGGAAGCUAUUGGCGCUGGAUGGUCAGCCUUGAGGGCCACUUCAUAUGUGAAGGGAUCCAGCCCACCUUCUUGAUGGGGCUUGCUGCAUUAUUUUCCACCUUCUACACCUGCACGCUCAAAUUAAUCUCAAGGUGCACCGUAGGAAUAAACCCUGAGAGAGGCACCAAGGAUGGACAGGGCAAAGUCUUCUCAAAGAAAACUGGCAAAUUCACGAGCUACAAGACAAGACUACAACCGUAUAUCCACAUGUAUCCACUCUGCUGAUGGGACUCAUGGACUUGAGUGGGACUUCAUUUAAAAUGUCAGCGGGCUACCAAGGCUG
Molecule: long non-coding RNA, 438 nt
Organism: Sebastes umbrosus (honeycomb rockfish)
Lineage: Eukaryota; Metazoa; Chordata; Actinopteri; Perciformes; Sebastidae
Exons: 3
Source: RefSeq, a predicted model, not a curated record